This 506-nucleotide ribosomal RNA is filed under the name uncultured bacterium. RNAcentral describes it as "partial 16S ribosomal RNA". It matches the Rfam family "Bacterial small subunit ribosomal RNA", at positions 28 to 523 of the family's 1533-position model. The record is from RNAcentral.
GAUGAACGCUAGCUACAGGCUUAACACAUGCAAGUCGAGGGGUAACAAGAGAAAAGCUUGCUUUUCUUGUUGACGACCGGCGCACGGGUGAGUAACGCGUAUCCAACCUGCCUAUAACUAGGGAAUAACCUUGCGAAAGUAAGACUAAUACCCUAUGAUUUCCUUUGAUGACAUCAGAUUAGGAAUAAAGAUUUAUCGGUUAUAGAUGGGGAUGCGUCUGAUUAGCUUGUUGGCGGGGUAACGGCCCACCAAGGCAACGAUCAGUAGGGGUUUUGGAAGGAAGGGCCCCCACAUUGGAACUGAGACACGGUCCAAACUCCUACGGGAGGCAGCAGUGAGGAAUAUUGGUCAAUGGGCGGAAGCCUGAACCAGCCAAGUAGCGUGCAGGAUGACGGCCCUAUGGGUUGUAAACUGCUUUUAUACAGGAAUAAAGUUAGCCACGUGUGGUUAUUUGUAGGUACUGUAUGAAUAAGGACCGGCUAAUUCCGUGCCAGCCGCCGCAGUAA